This 66-nucleotide transfer RNA is filed under the name Sclomina pallens. RNAcentral's name for it is "tRNA-Tyr". It matches the Rfam family "tRNA". Rfam says of the family: Transfer RNA (tRNA) molecules are approximately 80 nucleotides in length. Their secondary structure includes four short double-helical elements and three loops (D, anti-codon, and T loops). Lineage: Eukaryota; Metazoa; Arthropoda; Insecta; Hemiptera; Reduviidae. The record is from RNAcentral.
GGCAAAGUGGCUGAAUGAUUAGGUGAUAGAUUGUAAAUCUAUUUAUGGUAUAUAAACCCUUUGCCA